CCCAGGGUGUAUUUAGCCUCUGUGUUUCCUCCCUUCUGCCUUUUGCCAGUGUUCUUGUGUUUUUUGUUGGAUUUCUUUGGAUUGAGUUUUCUUGGACAAUUUAUACCCUCUUUUGGCCUCCACUGGAUCCAUUUCUCACUGACUCCUGAGACCAAAUUAAGGAAGGACCACCUCCUGAUGGUGACCCCAACUUCACUCAGAGUUCUUUUAAUGGGGACAAACAUCAUCACAGAGGAGACUGGAGGAAGCUACACCAGUACAUGGAUGAAAUCCAAGUCAACUCUCCCAGUAAGUUUAGGUGACCACAUCCACCAGGGGAUUCUGAUAUUCCUUUUUACUCUCCGGAGACGUUAGAUCCAACUCAUAUUGGACACCUUCAGCCUUGGGGAGAAAACCAAAUUAAUCUGUGGGAAAAAAGGAGCGUUUUUCUGCUCUGAGAGGACACCAGCAGCCUGUGAUGUGGAGGUCUGCUGUCUCUUCUUCCGCUCCUCCUAUUCUCUCUCUCCUCCUGCCGGCAGCUGAUACCUCCUCCUCCUCUGAACGCACAGGGACUCUGCGCGUCUCCGCUCGGCGCGCCGGAGAUCCUUUCAGCUUCACACCCACAAGUGAGGAAUGUUAAUGAGAAGGCGGAAAGAGACGAAAAGAGCCGAGGGGCAACCAGUUUGUGACAAGAGUGCACACUUCACCUCCAGCUAAUAAGACCUGUGGUCUGAUGGAUAUCGUGUGGCGUUACAUUGGAGUCUCAACAGACCAAAACAUUGACGGAUGUGAAAUGAUUCAAAACACCAAAGGGUCAGUGUGCUGUAUAGAGGCAGUUUUUAUAUGCUUGUGUGAAGUACAACCAAUAUAUUUUAGUUAUUGAUACCAAAGGUCAGUCUGCUUUAUUUCAAUUGUCUCCAGUUGCACAUUUUUACAUGUAAACACCAUCAUAGCUCAUAGCCUAUGUAACUGUCUCUAUUGGUGAGUUUAUAGAGACUGUAUGCCCUUUAUAGUUUUGUUACAAUUCAUUAUUUUGUAGUAAUAUUUUAUAACUCUAACAGAAGUCAUAGGUCACAGGACUGUCAGCAUUAUGAUGUUAAUUGUCAGGAGUAGUAUUUGGUAUGUUUUCUUGCUUUGUUGACAGUUUUCAUUUAUUGUUUUAUUUUGUAUUCUUUGCCUUGCGUGCCUUAUUGUAUUCCAUUCAUGUGUGGUUGUUCUGUGGUUGUUUUCUGUUACAUGUUCCAAGUGUUUCCUGUUUUAAUUCAUAGUCCUUUUUCCCAGUGUGUCAUGUCCAGUUUUAUUGCAAUCCAUUUGUUUCACCUGUGUAUCCUUGUCUCAUCUGUGUUUUGAUUGUCAGUGUAUUAAGUGCCUUUGUGCUUUCCCCUCCUGAUCAGUUUGUUGCGUCUUAUUUCCUAGUGUUCAUUUGGCUCCUCUGUAGUUUUUGUAAAUUUUUCUAUUUAUGGACAUUUGUGAUGCUGUACUUGAACGUUUUCGUUUGAACAUUUUUUCCCUUUUAUUUAUUAAAAAUAAUUUCUGAUA
Notolabrus celidotus (New Zealand spotty) is the source of this 1518-nucleotide long non-coding RNA. RefSeq lists it as uncharacterized. The record is from RefSeq and is a predicted model, not a curated record. NCBI's taxonomy places the organism in Eukaryota, Metazoa, Chordata, Actinopteri, Labriformes, Labridae. The transcript is spliced from 3 exons.